CGGUGGCUAAUACCGGAUGUGCCGAAAGGUGAAAGAUUAAUUGCCUGAAGAUGAGCUCGCGUCUGAUUAGCUAGUAGGUGUGGUAAAGGCGCACCUAGGCGACGAUCAGUAGCUGGUCUGAGAGGACGAUCAGCCACACUGGGACUGAGACACGGCCCAGACUCCUACGGGAGGCAGCAGUGGGGAAUUUUCCGCAAUGGGCGAAAGCCUGACGGAGCAAUACCGCGUGAGGGAGGAAGGCUCUUGGGUCGUAAACCUCUUUUCUCAGGGAAGAACACAAUGACGGUACCUGAGGAAUAAGCAUCGGCUAACUCCGUGCCAGCAGCCGCGGUAAUACGGAGGAUGCAAGCGUUAUCCGGAAUGAUUGGGCGUAAAGCGUCCGCAGGUGGCUNUGUAAGUCUGCUGUUAAAGAGUGAGGCUCAACCUCAUAAGAGCAGUGGAAACUACA
Molecule: ribosomal RNA, 448 nt
Filed under: Nostoc sp. HS002
Lineage: Bacteria; Bacillati; Cyanobacteriota; Cyanophyceae; Nostocales; Nostocaceae
Description: bacterial SSU rRNA
Rfam family: Bacterial small subunit ribosomal RNA
Source: RNAcentral